This 473-nucleotide ribosomal RNA is filed under the name Streptococcus sp. Its description in RNAcentral is "bacterial SSU rRNA". It matches the Rfam family "Bacterial small subunit ribosomal RNA", at positions 68 to 522 of the family's 1533-position model. The record is from RNAcentral. Lineage: Bacteria; Bacillati; Bacillota; Bacilli; Lactobacillales; Streptococcaceae.
GCUGACUACUUUAGCUUGCUAGAGUAGAAGGAGUUGCGAACGGGUGAGUAACACGUAGGUAACCUGCCUACUAGCGGGGGAUAACUAUUGGAAACGAUAGCUAAUACCGCAUAACAGUGUUUAACACAUGUUAGAUGCUUGAAAGAUGCAAAUGCAUCACUAGUAGAUGGACCUGCGUUGUAUUAGCUAGUUGGUGGGGUAACGGCCUACCAAGGCGACGAUACAUAGCCGACCUGAGAGGGUGAUCGGCCACACUGGGACUGAGACACGGCCCAGACUCCUACGGGAGGCAGCAGUAGGGAAUCUUCGGCAAUGGGGGCAACCCUGACCGAGCAACGCCGCGUGAGUGAAGAAGGUUUUCGGAGUCGUAAAGCUCUGUUGUAAGAGAAGAACGUGUGUGAGAGUGGAAAGUUCACACAGUGACGGUAACUUACCAGAAAGGGACGGCUAACUACGUGCCAGCAGCCGCGGUA